This is a long non-coding RNA of Serinus canaria (Common canary), 286 nucleotides long. RefSeq lists it as uncharacterized. The transcript has 3 exons. The record is from RefSeq and is a predicted model, not a curated record. Lineage: Eukaryota; Metazoa; Chordata; Aves; Passeriformes; Fringillidae.
AGUGUUCAGGCUUAUGACAGAUGGGAUUGAUCCUAUUCCUGGCAAAGUCACUGGCAAAAUUUCCAUGGCUGCAUUGGUAUGAAGCAUUACAUCUCUGGUUGUAGCUGGGAUCAGGGCAGAGCUCCAGCUAGAUGGGAUGGGACAGGCAUCUCCUCAAUUAGGUUUCCAGCAUUCUGGAAUCUAUAGUUAGUCUCCUAAUUGAAACUGCAUAAACCCAGGUGCCAGCAGCCCCUAUCCCUAAUCCAGGUAAAGCCCUUUUGCCCUCCACAAGAAGAACCAGAUCUUC